Molecule: ribosomal RNA, 742 nt
Filed under: uncultured bacterium
Lineage: Bacteria
Description: bacterial SSU rRNA
Rfam family: Bacterial small subunit ribosomal RNA
Source: RNAcentral
AGAGUUUGAUCCUGGCUCAGAACGAACGCUGGCGGCAGGCUUAACACAUGCAAGUCGAACGCACCUUUCGGGGUGAGUGGCAGACGGGUGAGUAACGCGUGGGAACGUGCCCUUCAGUUCGGAAUAACCCAGGGAAACUUGGGCUAAUACCGGAUACGUGCGAGAGCAGAAAGAUUUAUCGCUGAAGGAUCGGCCCGCGUCUGAUUAGCUAGUUGGUAGGGUAAUGGCCUACCAAGGCGACGAUCAGUAGCUGGUCUGAGAGGAUGAUCAGCCACAUUGGGACUGAGACACGGCCCAAACUCCUACGGGAGGCAGCAGUGGGGAAUAUUGGACAAUGGGCGCAAGCCUGAUCCAGCCAUGCCGCGUGAGUGAUGAAGGCCUUAGGGUUGUAAAGCUCUUUCGGCGGGGACGAUAAUGACGGUACCCGCAGAAGAAGCCCCGGCUAACUUCGUGCCAGCAGCCGCGGUAAUACGAAGGGGGCUAGCGUUGUUCGGAAUCACUGGGCGUAAAGGGCGCGUAGGCGGCUUUGUCAGUCGGGGGUGAAAGCCUGUGGCUCAACCACAGAAUUGCCUUCGAUACUGCAAGGCUUGAGACCGGAAGAGGUCAGUGGAACUGCGAGUGUAGAGGUGAAAUUCGUAGAUAUUCGCAAGAACACCAGUGGCGAAGGCGGCUGACUGGUCCGGAUCUGACGCUGAGGCGCGAAAGCGUGGGGAGCAAACAGGAUUAGAUACCCUAGUAGUCC